AUUGAACGCUGGCGGCAGGCCUAACACAUGCAAGUCGAGCGGAUGAAGGGAGCUUGCUCCUGGAUUCAGCGGCGGACGGGUGAGUAAUGCCUAGGAAUCUGCCUGGUAGUGGGGGAUAACGUCCGGAAACGGGCGCUAAUACCGCAUGCGUCCUGAGGGAGAAAGUGGGGGAUCUUCGGACCUCACGCUAUCAGAUGAGCCUAGGUCGGAUUAGCUAGUUGGUGGGGUAAAGGCCUACCAAGGCGACGAUCCGUAACUGGUCUGGGAGGAUGAUCAGUCACACUGGAACUGAGACACGGUCCAGACUCCUACGGGAGGCAGCAGUGGGGAAUAUUGGACAAUGGGCGAAAGCCUGAUCCAGCCAUGCCGCGUGUGUGAAGAAGGUCUUCGGAUUGUAAAGCACUUUAAGUUGGGAGGAAGGGCAGUAAGUUAAUACCUUGCUGUUUUGACGUUACCAACAGAAUAAGCACCGGCUAACUUCGUG
Molecule: ribosomal RNA, 484 nt
Filed under: uncultured bacterium
Lineage: Bacteria
Description: partial 16S ribosomal RNA
Rfam family: Bacterial small subunit ribosomal RNA
Source: RNAcentral